CCUACGGGUGGCUGCAGUGGGGAAUAUUGGGCAAUGGGCGCAAGCCUGACCCAGCAACGCCGCGUGAAGGAAGAAGGCCUUCGGGUUGUAAACUUCUUUUCUCAGGGACGAAGCAAGUGACGGUACCUGAGGAAUAAGCCACGGCUAACUACGUUCCAGCAGCCGCGGUAAUACGUAGGUGGCAAGCGUUAUCCGGAUGUACUGGGUGUAAAGGGCGUGUAGGCGGGACUGCAAGUCAGAUGUGAAAACCACGGGCUCAACCUGUGGUCUGCAUGUGAAACUGUAGUGCUUGAGUACUGGAGAGGCAGACGGAAUUCCUAGUGUAGCGGUGAAAUGCGUAGAUAUUAGGAGGAACACCAGGGGCGAAGGCGGUCUGCUGGACAGCAACUGACGCUGAGGCGCGAAAGCGUGGGGAGCAAACAGGAUUAGAUACCCGGGUAGUC
Molecule: ribosomal RNA, 443 nt
Filed under: uncultured bacterium
Lineage: Bacteria
Description: partial 16S ribosomal RNA
Rfam family: Bacterial small subunit ribosomal RNA
Source: RNAcentral